RNAcentral lists this ribosomal RNA (200 nucleotides) under uncultured bacterium. Its description in RNAcentral is "partial 16S ribosomal RNA". It matches the Rfam family "Bacterial small subunit ribosomal RNA", at positions 29 to 254 of the family's 1533-position model. The record is from RNAcentral.
AACGAACGCUGGCGGCAGGCCUCAAACAUGCAAGUCUAGGGGGCGUAGCAAUACGUCACCGGCGGACGGGUGCGUAACACGUGGGAAUGUACCUAUUGGUUCGGAACAACGCAGGGAAACUUGCGCUAAUACCGAAUGUGCCCUUACAGGGAAAGAUUUAUCGCCAAUGGAUCAGUCCGCCUCCGAUUAGCUAGUUGGUG